GGUCUGGUAACUCAGCCUGGUUAGAGUACCUGUCUUAUAAGCAGGAGGUCCUGGGUUCAAAUCCCAGCCAGACCA
This 75-nucleotide transfer RNA is filed under the name Nanobdellota archaeon. Its description in RNAcentral is "tRNA-Ile". It matches the Rfam family "tRNA". From Rfam's summary of the family: Transfer RNA (tRNA) molecules are approximately 80 nucleotides in length. The record is from RNAcentral. Lineage: Archaea; Nanobdellati; Nanobdellota. RNAcentral also lists the same sequence under 1 other name.